Molecule: RNase P RNA, 368 nt
Filed under: pig gut metagenome
Description: Bacterial RNase P class A
Rfam family: Bacterial RNase P class A
About the family: Ribonuclease P (RNase P) is a ubiquitous endoribonuclease, found in archaea, bacteria and eukarya as well as chloroplasts and mitochondria. Its best characterised activity is the generation of mature 5'-ends of tRNAs by cleaving the 5'-leader elements of precursor-tRNAs. Cellular RNase Ps are ribonucleoproteins.
Source: RNAcentral
AGGCCGGUCUGCCGCUGGCCCCUGGGCGCAAGCCCGGAGAGCGAGAGGAAAGUCCGGGCAGCACAGGGCAUCCCGCUUCCUAACAGAAAGAGGUCCGCGAGGGUCUGUCGAUGUAGAAGAAAAGAACCGCCCCGCUUCGCGUGGGGUAAGGGUGAGAAGGUGGAGUAAGAGCCCACCAGGCCAGUGGUGACACUGGUGCUGUACAUCCCGGGAGCUGAAAGUUCAUGUAAACCGGCGACGCAUUGAGAGGGCGGCCCGCCCGAGCCGGAGGGUAGAACGAUAGAGGCUGAUGGUGACAUCGGCACUGGAUAAAUGGCAGGCACCCCCGCACUGCGGGGCAUACAGAACCCGGCUUACAGGCCGGCUGU